GUCCGUAUAGAUCAGUGGUUUAGAUCGUUUGUCUUACAUGCAAUUGUUCACAAAAGGUCGCAGGUUCGAAACCUGCUACGGACA
This is a non-coding RNA of Gautieria morchelliformis, 84 nucleotides long. The record is from the annotation of a GenBank genome assembly. Lineage: Eukaryota; Fungi; Basidiomycota; Agaricomycetes; Gomphales; Gomphaceae.